AGCAGGUACAGCAUGUUACGAUGUGUUGGUCGAUGUGCCUUUCCCAAUUCACAGGGAAUUGUCUGCUCUAUUAGCCAAUGCAGAGAAGAACAAGGAGAUUGAUGCAUGUGAUGAAGCAAUUUGUACCGCUAUAAGGAAAAUUCACGAGCAUCGACGGAGACGUGCAUUUUUCCUUGGGUUCAGUCAGUCACCGGUGGAGUUUAU
RNAcentral lists this unclassified non-coding RNA (204 nucleotides) under Hevea brasiliensis (rubber tree). The record is from RNAcentral. Lineage: Eukaryota; Viridiplantae; Streptophyta; Magnoliopsida; Malpighiales; Euphorbiaceae.